AGCAGCCGCGGUAAUUCCAGCUCCAAUAGCGUAUAUUAAAGUUGUUGCAGUUAAAAAGCUCGUAGUUGAAUUUCGGGGUUAGUAGAUUGGUCGUGCCAUCGGUAUGCACUGGUCUUACUGAUUCCUCCUUCCUGAUGAACCGUAAUGCCAUUAAUUUGGUGUUGCGGGGAGACUGGACUGUUACUUUGAAAAAAUUAGAGUGUUUAAAGCAAGCUAACGCUUGAAUACAUUAGCAUGGAAUAAUGAAAUAGGACGUUCGAUCCUAUUUUGUUGGUUUCUAGGAUUGACGUAAUGAUUAAUAGGGAUAGUUGGGGGCAUUAGUAUUCAAUUGUCAGAGGUGAAAUUCUUGGAUUUAUUGAAGACUAACUACUGCGAAAGCAUUUGCCAAGGAUGUUUUCAUUAAUCAAGAACGAAAGUUAGGGGAUCGAAGACGAUCAGAUACCGUCGUAG
This 450-nucleotide ribosomal RNA is filed under the name uncultured Glomeromycotina. RNAcentral's name for it is "SSU rRNA". It matches the Rfam family "Eukaryotic small subunit ribosomal RNA", at positions 569 to 1023 of the family's 1831-position model. Lineage: Eukaryota; Fungi; Glomeromycota. The record is from RNAcentral.